AACACGGGGGACAACCGAAAACUGAUU
RNAcentral lists this non-coding RNA (27 nucleotides) under Cricetulus griseus (Chinese hamster). Lineage: Eukaryota; Metazoa; Chordata; Mammalia; Rodentia; Cricetidae. The record is from RNAcentral.